UACGAAGGGGGCUAGCGUUGCUCGGAAUUACUGGGCGUAAAGGGAGCGUAGGCGGACAGUUUAGUCAGAGGUGAAAGCCCAGGGCUCAACCCUGGAAUUGCCUUUGAUACUGACUGUCUUGAGUGUGGGAGAGGUGUGUGGAACUCCGAGUGUAGAGGUGAAAUUCGUAGAUAUUCGGAAGAACACCAGUGGCGAAGGCGACACACUGGCCCAUUACUGACGCUGAGGAUCGAAAGCGUGGGGAGCAAACAGG
RNAcentral lists this ribosomal RNA (253 nucleotides) under uncultured bacterium. Its description in RNAcentral is "partial 16S ribosomal RNA". It matches the Rfam family "Bacterial small subunit ribosomal RNA", at positions 524 to 776 of the family's 1533-position model. The record is from RNAcentral.